RNAcentral lists this ribosomal RNA (324 nucleotides) under uncultured Streptococcus sp. RNAcentral's name for it is "bacterial SSU rRNA". It matches the Rfam family "Bacterial small subunit ribosomal RNA", at positions 1057 to 1382 of the family's 1533-position model. The record is from RNAcentral. Lineage: Bacteria; Bacillati; Bacillota; Bacilli; Lactobacillales; Streptococcaceae.
AGCUCGUGUCGUGAGAUGUUGGGUUAAGUCCCGCAACGAGCGCAACCCCUAUUGUUAGUUGCCAUCAUUCAGUUGGGCACUCUAGCGAGACUGCCGGUAAUAAACCGGAGGAAGGUGGGGAUGACGUCAAAUCAUCAUGCCCCUUAUGACCUGGGCUACACACGUGCUACAAUGGUUGGUACAACGAGUUGCGAGUCGGUGACGGCGAGCUAAUCUCUUAAAGCCAAUCUCAGUUCGGAUUGUAGGCUGCAACUCGCCUACAUGAAGUCGGAAUCGCUAGUAAUCGCGGAUCAGCACGCCGCGGUGAAUACGUUCCCGGGCCUU